This 27-nucleotide non-coding RNA is filed under the name Homo sapiens (human). The record is from RNAcentral. Lineage: Eukaryota; Metazoa; Chordata; Mammalia; Primates; Hominidae.
CUCAGUCAUACUCAAACUAAACUGCUG